GACGAACGCUGGCGGCGUGCUUAACACAUGCCAGUCGAACGGAAAGGCCCUGCUUUUGUGGGGUGCUCGAGUGGCGAACGGGUGAGUAACACGUGAGUAACCUGCCCUUGACUUUGGGAUAACUUCAGGAAACUGGGGCUAAUACCGGAUAGGAGCUCCUGCUGCAUGGUGGGGGUUGGAAAGUUUCGGCGGUUGGGGAUGGACUCGCGGCUUAUCAGCUUGUUGGUGGGGUAGUGGCUUACCAAGGCUUUGACGGGUAGCCGGCCUGGGAGGGUGACCGGCCACAAUGGGACUGAGAUACGGCCCAGACGCCUACGGGAGGCAGCAGUGGGGAAUAUUGCACAAUGGGCGGAAGCCUGAUGCAGCAACGCCGCGUGCGGGAUGACGGCCUUCGGGUUGUAAACCGCUUUCGCCUGUGACGAAGCGUGAGUGACGGUAAUGGGUAAAGAAGCACCGGCUAACUACGUG
This 468-nucleotide ribosomal RNA is filed under the name uncultured bacterium. Its description in RNAcentral is "partial 16S ribosomal RNA". It matches the Rfam family "Bacterial small subunit ribosomal RNA", at positions 28 to 507 of the family's 1533-position model. The record is from RNAcentral.